AUUAAGCCUGUGGCUCAAGCAUUAAUGGAUGGCAAAGUUUGUCAUGUGGGAAGAAACACAGCCUAGUUAGAGCUUUGGGUGGUCAGUUCUUCAUCUGAUACUUGAUAUUGCAUGACCCCAAUGUAGGCUAAUGGAUGAAGAGGUGGAGAUGGGGCCAAUUUGAGGCCCUACAAAGAGGAGUCCAAAAACUUUUUUCUGCAAAGGGCCUGGUAGUGAAUAUUUUCAGCUUUGUGGACUAUAUCAAGGGUCCCCAACCUGUUAGGAACUGGACCACACAGCAGGAGAACAAUGAUCAAGACCAAAACAAUCUGACCACAAAAAUAAAUCAGAUCAACAUUGCCACAUCUUUGGAGGAACUUCAAAGAAACUUUCUCUUACCUGUUACCAUCAGCUGGAAAAGCUACAGGGCCUCCCAGCAAACCAUGUCUGAUUUGGGGAAUAAAUAAAAAAGACAUUAUUUCUGAGUCAUGGCUUCUGAGUUCUGGCGCCUCUAAGGAAGUAAUUAAGAUUCUACAAGCCAGGAAGAGAAACUGAAACUGACCAUGCUGGUACCUUGAGCUUGGACUGCGGCCUUCAAAACUGUGAGA
Long non-coding RNA from Rhinopithecus roxellana (golden snub-nosed monkey), 587 nucleotides. RefSeq lists it as uncharacterized. The record is from RefSeq and is a predicted model, not a curated record. NCBI's taxonomy places the organism in Eukaryota, Metazoa, Chordata, Mammalia, Primates, Cercopithecidae. The transcript has 3 exons.